GUGGGGAAUCUUGCGCAAUGGGGGAAACCCUGACGCAGCAACGCCGCGUGGGUGAUGAAGGCCUUCGGGUCGUAAAGCCCUGUCAGGUGGGAAGAAACAUGUUGAUGCCAAUACCAUCAGCACUUGACGGUACCACCGGAGGAAGCACCGGCUAACUCCGUGCCAGCAGCCGCGGUAAUACGGAGGGUGCAAGCGUUGUUCGGAAUUAUUGGGCGUAAAGCGCGUGUAGGCGGUCAUGUAAGUCAGAUGUGAAAGCCUUCCGCUUAACGGGAGAAGUGCAUUUGAAACUGCAUGACUGGAGUACGGGAGAGGAGAGUGGAAUUCCCGGUGUAGAGGUGAAAUUCGUAGAUAUCGGGAGGAACACCAGUGGCGAAGGCGGCUCUCUGGCCUGAUACUGACGCUGAGACGCGAAAGCGUGGGGAGCAAACAGGAUUAGAAACCCCGGUAGUCC
RNAcentral lists this ribosomal RNA (451 nucleotides) under uncultured bacterium. RNAcentral describes it as "bacterial SSU rRNA". It matches the Rfam family "Bacterial small subunit ribosomal RNA", at positions 354 to 796 of the family's 1533-position model. The record is from RNAcentral.